Molecule: long non-coding RNA, 896 nt
Organism: Cryptomeria japonica (Japanese cedar)
Lineage: Eukaryota; Viridiplantae; Streptophyta; Pinopsida; Cupressales; Cupressaceae
Exons: 2
Source: RefSeq, a predicted model, not a curated record
GAGACCAACCCCUUCUUGGAGGCUAUAAAAGAGAGACUCGGAAUUCAUUUGUGUUAUGGUAAGUUGGAUAUUUGAAAUUGCUUCUUAUUCUUGGAGGAGAUUGCUCUUCUUAGGGUUUGUGAGGACGGAAUCCCUUGAAGGCGACACUCUCCAAGUUGAGAGACACAAUUUGGAGGGUUCUUGGUGUUAUCAUUCAGGAAACAUAGAUGAGCUGAUUGGCGAUUCAGAUUUUCAGUUAUUUGUGGAGUUUUCAUUGCAUGUUUGAUUUAGAGAGUUGAUUUAGGAAGUUAUUGAGGAGUUUAUUUUUUGUUCAUGUUCUUUUGGCUGGGCUGUACUCUCUCAUAUGCUGGCCUUACCUCUUGUGAAGGGCCGUACACUUUGUUGGUUGGGUGGUUAGGGUUUGAGAAGUCUCAUGUUGCUGUUUAGAGGCGUUUUGGACCUGCAAUACCUUGCUUAACAUCUGCGUGGGUUUUGGUUGAGACUUUGGAGGGUGGCGUCCACUUUUGGCACAUCUAGUUUGCAUAUUUUGUGAACAGUUCAGUGUAUUCAUUGCUGCAUUUUGUGGCUUGACCUGCUUCAGCUGUCUACUUGCCUGGUUCAGCUACUUGGUUGCUUGCUGGAGCUGCCUGUGUGUCUGCUAGUGCUGCUUGAGUGUAUGUCUAAGCAAGCUGUGUGCUUACUUGUCCUUUUGUCAGCAGCUGAAUCAGAAUUUUUGCUUAGUCAGCAACUCUUGCCACAUUUUAAAAAGGAGGGCCCACGUUUCUUUUGGAAUCGAAUUAUUUUUUCCUAAUGCAUGGUCGCUAAGUAUCAUUGUGGAAAGCAUAUCUUUUUGAAUACGUAGUCUGACUGCUGAUCAGAACCGUUAUCUUAUUGAAAUCGUAUUUACUCCUUGUGGA